This 570-nucleotide ribosomal RNA is filed under the name Caenocholax sp. 6 DPM-2010. RNAcentral's name for it is "partial 18S small subunit ribosomal RNA". The record is from RNAcentral. Lineage: Eukaryota; Metazoa; Arthropoda; Insecta; Strepsiptera; Myrmecolacidae.
AACCUGUAUCUCGUACUUUCGAAUUCCCGCGAUUUUAUUCGUGUGGUAUUUGUUAUUUUAUUGUACGAGAUAUAUAUGCUGGUGAAUGUUUAGAAAUUGUGUGUUUUAGACGCGCGCGCGAACUUUUGUUCGUUGCUUGCUGCUAUUCAUACGAUUUCGAUGUUCGAUACGAUGAGUUUUAAGAUUAAAUUCACUUCGGUGAGUUGCUUUGAUUCAAUCGUAUUUUGACUGUGUUUGAAAGUGUUGUGCGGUCAGAGAUGCAGUUUCGUAAAAAAAAACUGUAUUGUCGCGCGCUCGUUUUCGACCUGUCAGACCAGCGAAAUUACUUUGAACAAAUUAGAGUGCUUAAAGCAGGCACAUUUUAUGCCUUGAAUAUAAACAGCAUGGAAUAAUAGAAUAUGAUCUCGAUACUGUUUGUUUAAUGUUUUUUUUGCUUAAUCGCGUAAGAUUAGUGAAAAAGCAUUUUUCGUUUGAUAGUAUGCGCAAGUGUAUUGAAGGCGAAAUAAAAUUGGCUUAAAGUGAACAUUGCAGGAGAAUCUGAAAUGAUUUUCUUUUUGUUCACGACAGUAU